RNAcentral lists this ribosomal RNA (231 nucleotides) under uncultured bacterium. RNAcentral describes it as "partial 16S ribosomal RNA". It matches the Rfam family "Bacterial small subunit ribosomal RNA", at positions 15 to 229 of the family's 1533-position model. The record is from RNAcentral.
GAUCAUGGCUCAGGACGAACGCUGGCGGCGUGCCUAACACAUGCAAGUCGAACGGAGAAUUUUAUUUCGGUAGAAUUCUUAGUGGCGAACGGGUGAGUAACGCGUAGGAAACCUACCCUUUAGACGGGGACAGCAUUCCGAAAGGAGUGCUAAUACCGGAUGUGAUCAUCGUGCCGCAUGGCAGGAUGAAGAAAGAUGGCCUCUACAAGUAAGCUAUCGCUAAAGGAUGGG